This 800-nucleotide ribosomal RNA is filed under the name Anoplophora glabripennis (Asian longhorned beetle). Its description in RNAcentral is "partial 12S ribosomal RNA". Lineage: Eukaryota; Metazoa; Arthropoda; Insecta; Coleoptera; Cerambycidae. The record is from RNAcentral.
GAUAAUAUAUUUCAAUUUUUAUUAGUAUUAAUAUAUUGAAAAUUAUAAAGUUUUAAGGGAAAAUUUAUUAGGUGAAAUUUUAAGGUUUUUAAAAAAUUUAUUUAUAUUGAUUAGUUAAUAAAUUUAGUAGUAGACUAGGAUUAGAUACCCUAUUAUUUUAAAUGUAAAAUUAAGCUAGAUUAGUAUUAGUUAUGUUCUUGAAAAUUAAAGAUUUUGGCGGUUUUUUAGUCUAUUCAGAGGAACCUGUUCUAUAAUCGAUAGUCCACGAUUUAGAUAACCUUUAUUAUAAAUUUGUAUAUCGUCGUAGUUUGAAUAUUUUAAAAGAAUUUAAAUAUUCAAAAUUUAUUUUUUAAAUAAUAUCAGAUCAAGGUAUAGUUCAUAUAAAGGUAGAAAUGGGUUACAUUAAUUUUAAUUAAGGAUAAUUUAUUGAAAAUAGAUUUAAAUAAGGAUUUGAAAGUAAUUUUUAAAAAUUUUAAAGAUGAUUUUAGCUCUAAAAUAUGCACAUAUCGCCCGUCGCUUUCAUUUUAAGGUGAAAUAAGUCGUAACAAAGUAGGCUUACUGGAAGGUGAGCCUAGAAAGACAAGUUAGAGCUUGUAUAUAAAGCAUUUUAUUUACAUUAAGAAGUUAAUUGUGAAAAUCAAUUUAAUUUGAUUUUAAAAAUAUUAUUUUUAAUUAAAAAUUAAAUUAAAUUAAAAAAUAAAAUUAUUUUUUAGUAAAUCUGGGAAAAAAUUAUGUUAAUAAUAGGUUAUUAGUAUUGAGAAAGAAUUAUUAUUAAAAUUUUAAAAGAAGAAGAAAAUUUU